Gordionus sp. m RMFG-2023 is the source of this 1144-nucleotide long non-coding RNA. RefSeq lists it as uncharacterized. The transcript has 3 exons. The record is from RefSeq and is a predicted model, not a curated record. NCBI's taxonomy places the organism in Eukaryota, Metazoa, Nematomorpha, Gordioida, Chordodea, Parachordodidae.
UAUGAAAGCCAUAAAGGCCAACAUAUUCGGUUAUAUUUCGAAUAUUUCGCCCGUAAGGGGCAGAAAUAUUAAGGAAAAUAACUGCAAAGCACCUCAAUUUAUUUCAAUAGAAUUUAAGCGAUUUUGUGAAGAAAACAACAUUUGCCACAUUCGCUCAACGUCGUACCACCCGAAGACAAAUGGGGAGGCGGAACGAACCAUUCGAAUCUUAAAAGGGAGGUAUUAUGCCAGUCGAGAAUCAAUUAAUGACCCGCAAGAGGCAAUGACUCAAACGGUAGCAGCGUAUAGGCUGGGAGAACAUAGUUCGACGCGUAAGUCACCAGCGAAGAUUAUGUUCGGUCGUCAAAUAAGAACUAAUCUAGACUGGGCUAGACCAGAGGUGGGAAAGGAGAUUGAUAAAGCCAAUGAUAAACAAAAUCAAGAACGUGAUACACAUUCCAAUUUUAGGGAAUUUGACGUUGGUCAGCAUGUGUGGGUAAGGAAUGAAACCACUAAGGGUUGGAGAGAAGGGGUGAUUCAGGAUAGAAAGGGAUUAUAUUCCUAUGUAGUCAAGACUCAGAUCGUGUAAUACGAGAACAUGCUGACCAGCUAAGGGACCGAUUGAUAUCAGAUACGACGGAGCGCGUGAUAGCUGACGGCGAUCAGAGAGAGUGUGAGACCCCAAGGCGAGGGCGGACACAUAAACCCCCGAAACGAAUGAUUGAAGAGAUACAGACAUCUCUCAAUUAACGUAGGGGGAAAUGUAGUAAAGAAUCCCUCCUAUGAUUGAAUCAAGCCCUACUGGAAAUUAUGAGAUAGAUACAACUCUUGCAGUAAAUGUUAGAUAUUCGUCAUUCUUCAUUUUAAAAGAAUGGCUAAAUAAAUACGAAAUUUCUAAUGCGACAAAUUAUUCAAUACACCGUUCUAAAAAAUCGAAGGACCCAAUACUUAAGUCUACAAUAAUGUACGAACGACUUUAUUACCAAUGUUAUGAGGGCAAGGUCAGACCAUCCAAAUCAAAAGGUUUUAAUUUUUAUUAACCCUUAUCAUGAAUCAAGAAAAUCUACAAUUAUCCAAAGAGAAUCUAGAACUACCCAAAGAAAAUCUACAAUUAUCCAAAGAGAAUAUAGAACUACCCAUACAGGAUCAAUUACAAUUACCUAAA